RNAcentral lists this ribosomal RNA (231 nucleotides) under uncultured bacterium. RNAcentral describes it as "partial 16S ribosomal RNA". It matches the Rfam family "Bacterial small subunit ribosomal RNA", at positions 334 to 563 of the family's 1533-position model. The record is from RNAcentral.
CACCCUACGGGAGGCAGCAGUGAGGAAUAUUGGUCAAUGGCCGGAAGGCUGAACCAGCCAAGCCGCGUGAAGGACGAAGGUGUCAAGCAUUGUAAACUUCUUUUGUCAAGGGACAAAAUCAGGCUCGAGAGCCUGACCGAGGGUACUUGAAGAAAAAGCAUCGGCUAACUCCGUGCCAGCAGCCGCGGUAAUACGGAGGAUGAGAGCGUUAUCCGGAUUUCUUGGGUUUAA